Molecule: ribosomal RNA, 433 nt
Filed under: uncultured bacterium
Lineage: Bacteria
Description: partial 16S ribosomal RNA
Rfam family: Bacterial small subunit ribosomal RNA
Source: RNAcentral
AACGAACGCUGGCGGCAUGCCUAACACAUGCAAGUCGAACGAGACCUUCGGGUCUAGUGGCGCACGGGUGCGUAACGCGUGGGAACCUGCCCUUAGGUUCGGAAUAACUCCCCGAAAGGGGUGCUAAUACCGGUUAAUGUCUUCGGACCAAAGAUUUAUCGCCUUUGGAUGGGCCCGCGUUGGAUUAGCUAGUUGGUAGGGUAAAAGCCUACCAAGGCGACGAUCCAUAGCUGGUCUGAGAGGAUGAUCAGCCACACUGGGACUGAGACACGGCCCAGACUCCUACGGGAAGCAGCAGUGGGGAAUAUUGGACAAUGGGCGAAAGCCUGAUCAAGCAAUGCCGCGUGAGUGAUGAAGGCCUUAGGGUUGUAAAGCUCUUUUACCCGGGAUGAUAAUGACAGUACCGGGAGAAUAAGCUCCGGCUAACUCCGUG